AAAAUACUCCCUCCGUUCCGAAUUACUUGUCUUGAAUUUGUCUAGAUAUGAAGGUAUCUAGCACUAAAAUGAGUCUAGAUACAUCCGUAUCUAGACAAAUCCAAAACAAGUAAUUCGGAACGGAGGGAGUAUAUA
This is a non-coding RNA of Triticum aestivum (bread wheat), 135 nucleotides long. NCBI's taxonomy places the organism in Eukaryota, Viridiplantae, Streptophyta, Magnoliopsida, Poales, Poaceae. The record is from Rfam.